This 76-nucleotide transfer RNA is filed under the name Planctomycetaceae bacterium. RNAcentral describes it as "tRNA-Lys". Lineage: Bacteria; Pseudomonadati; Planctomycetota; Planctomycetia; Planctomycetales; Planctomycetaceae. The record is from RNAcentral.
CCUCCCGAACGCUUUAGCAGAUGAGCAGCGGUUUCUUAAGCCGCGGAAGCAGGCGCGAUUCCUGCCGGGAGGACCA